GGUGCGUAACACGUAUGCAAUCUGCCCGGAACUGGAGGAUAGCUCCCCGAAAGGGGAAUUAACACUGCAUAAUAUCGUAGAGUGGCAUCACUCAGACUGAUUAAAUCUCAGGAGGUUUCGGAUGAGACAUGCGGAUGAUUAGCUAGUUGGUGAGGUAACGGCUCACCAAGGCGAUGAUCAAUAGGGGAACUGAGAGGUUGAUCCCCCAAACUGGCACUGAGAUACUGGGCCAGACUCCUACGGGAGGCAGCAGUAGGGAAUAUUGGACAAUGGUUGCAAGACUGAUCCAGCCAUGCCCGUCGUACAGGAAGAAGGCUUUCUGAGUUGUAAACUGCUUUUGCCAGGGGAUAAAAAGUCCCUUGCGGGGAAAAAUUUGAAGGUACCUGGUGAAUAAGCCACGGUAACUUAACGUGCCAGCAGCCGGGG
RNAcentral lists this ribosomal RNA (426 nucleotides) under uncultured bacterium. Its description in RNAcentral is "bacterial SSU rRNA". It matches the Rfam family "Bacterial small subunit ribosomal RNA", at positions 105 to 520 of the family's 1533-position model. The record is from RNAcentral.